This 237-nucleotide ribosomal RNA is filed under the name uncultured bacterium. RNAcentral's name for it is "partial 16S ribosomal RNA". It matches the Rfam family "Bacterial small subunit ribosomal RNA", at positions 15 to 244 of the family's 1533-position model. The record is from RNAcentral.
GAUCCUGGCUCAGGAUAAACGCUGGCGGCGCACAUAAGACAUGCAAGUCGAACGGACUUAACCGAAAGUUUACUUUUGGAGCGGUUAGUGGCGGACUGGUGAGUAACACGUAAGCAACCUGCCUAUCAGAGGGGAACAACAGUUAGAAAUGACUGCUAAUACCGCAUAUGCCUAAGUAUCACAUGGUACAAUAGGGAAAGAAGCAAUUCGCUGAUAGAUGGGCUUGCGUCUGAUUAG